UACGUAGGGUGCGAGUGUUAAUCGGAAUUACUGGGCGUAAAGCGUGCGCAGGCGGUUUGCUAAGACAGGUGUGAAAUCCCCGGGCUUAACCUGGGAACUGCGCUUGUGACUGGCAGGCUAGAGUACGGUAGAGGGGGUGGAAUUCCUGGUGUAGCAGUGAAAUGCGUAGAUAUCAGGAGGAACACCGAUGGCGAAGGCAGCCCCCUGGGCCUGUACUGACGCUCAUGCACGAAAGCGUGGGGAGCAAACAGGAUUAGAUACCCCGGUAGU
Molecule: ribosomal RNA, 270 nt
Filed under: uncultured prokaryote
Description: partial 16S ribosomal RNA
Rfam family: Bacterial small subunit ribosomal RNA
Source: RNAcentral